This 105-nucleotide microRNA precursor is filed under the name Canis lupus familiaris (dog). RNAcentral's name for it is "mir-8834 microRNA precursor family". It matches the Rfam family "mir-8834 microRNA precursor family". Lineage: Eukaryota; Metazoa; Chordata; Mammalia; Carnivora; Canidae. RNAcentral also lists the same sequence under 1 other name. The record is from Rfam by way of RNAcentral.
AGGAGCAACAGCCCCAGUGGCGGGGCCAGCUCUGGAAACCUGGAUUCAGCCCCCGCAGAAACUCCGGAGCUCUCCGUCUGCAGGGCCUGGAGGCUCCGGGGUGGG